RNAcentral lists this transfer RNA (72 nucleotides) under Candidatus Wildermuthbacteria bacterium RIFCSPHIGHO2_01_FULL_45_20. RNAcentral describes it as "tRNA-Met". It matches the Rfam family "tRNA". Rfam says of the family: Transfer RNA (tRNA) molecules are approximately 80 nucleotides in length. Their secondary structure includes four short double-helical elements and three loops (D, anti-codon, and T loops). RNAcentral also lists the same sequence under 2 other names. The record is from RNAcentral. Lineage: Bacteria; Candidatus Wildermuthiibacteriota.
GGCUGCGUAGCUCAGUGGCAGAGCGAGGCUUUCAUAAGGCCGAGGUCGCAGGUUCAAAUCCUGCCGCAGCCA